This is a ribosomal RNA of Lachnospiraceae bacterium 2_1_46FAA, 160 nucleotides long. It matches the Rfam family "Bacterial large subunit ribosomal RNA", at positions 2473 to 2632 of the family's 2925-position model. Lineage: Bacteria; Bacillati; Bacillota; Clostridia; Lachnospirales; Lachnospiraceae. The record is from Rfam.
GAUAACAGGCUUAUCACUCCCAAGAGUUCACAUCGACGGAGUGGUUUGGCACCUCGAUGUCGGCUCAUCGCAUCCUGGGGCUGAAGUAGGUCCCAAGGGUUGGGCUGUUCGCCCAUUAAAGCGGUACGCGAGCUGGGUUCAGAACGUCGUGAGACAGUUC